GGCGAACGGGUGCGUAACGCGUAUGCAACCUACCUCCAACUGGGGAAUAGCCCUGGGAAACCGGGAUUAACACCGCAUAAGAUGGUAGAACCGCAUGGUUCAGCCAUUAAAGUUUACGGUUGGAGAUGGGCAUGCGUGCCAUUAGCUAGUUGGCGGGGUAAUAGCCCACCAAGGCGACGAUGGCUAGGGGGUCUGAGAGGAUGAUCCCCCACACUGGUACUGAGAUACGGACCAGACUCCUACGGGAGGCAGCAGUAGGGAAUAUUGGUCAAUGGACGCAAGUCUGAACCAGCCAUGCCGCGUGCAGGAUGAAGGCGCUCUGCGUUGUAAACUGCUUUUGUACGGGAAGAAUAUAUCGUUUGCGAACGGUUUUGACGGUACCGUAAGAAUAAGGAUCGGCUAACUACGUGCCAGCAGCCGCGGUAAUACGUAGGAUCCAAGCGUUGUCCGGAUUUAUUGGGUUUAAAGGGUGCGCAGGCGGCCUGAUAAGUCAGUGGUGAAAGCCCGUUGCUUAACAACGGAAUUGCCAUUGAUACUGUCGGGCUUGAGUACAGUUGAGGUUGGCGGAAUGUAUCAUGUAGCGGUGAAAUGCUUAGAUAUGAUACAGAACACCGAUUGCGAAGGCAGCUGAC
Molecule: ribosomal RNA, 632 nt
Filed under: uncultured bacterium
Lineage: Bacteria
Description: bacterial SSU rRNA
Rfam family: Bacterial small subunit ribosomal RNA
Source: RNAcentral